Molecule: ribosomal RNA, 230 nt
Filed under: uncultured bacterium
Lineage: Bacteria
Description: partial 16S ribosomal RNA
Rfam family: Bacterial small subunit ribosomal RNA
Source: RNAcentral
CGGAACACGUACGCAACCUUCCCAUAACAGGUGAAUAGCCUUCCGAAAGGGAGAUUAUUACACCGUAACAUAAUGAAGAGGCAUCUUUUUAUUAUUAUAGGCAGCAAUGUCGGUUUUGGAUGGGCGUGCGACUGAUUAGGUAGUUGGUGAGGGUAACGGCCCACCAAGCCUGCGAUCAGUAACUGGUGUGAGAGCACGACCAGUCACACGGGCACUGAGACACGGGCCCG